This 439-nucleotide ribosomal RNA is filed under the name uncultured bacterium. RNAcentral's name for it is "partial 16S ribosomal RNA". It matches the Rfam family "Bacterial small subunit ribosomal RNA", at positions 338 to 795 of the family's 1533-position model. The record is from RNAcentral.
CCUACGGGAGGCAGCAGUGGGGAAUAUUGCACAAUGGGCGAAAGCCUGAUGCAGCAACGCCGCGUGAGCGAUGAAGGCCCUCGGGUCGUAAAGCUCUUUCCUCAGGGAAGAUAAUGACGGUGCUUGAGGAUGAAUCAGCGGCUAACUACGUGCCCGCAGCCGCGGUAGUACGUAGGGGGCUAGCGUUAUCCGGAGUUCCUGGGCGAAAGGGGUGCGUAGGUGGGGUCUUAAGUCAAAGGUGAAAGGCUACGGCUAAACCGUAGUAAGCCUUUGAAACUGGGAAACUUGAGUGCAGGAGAGGAGAGUGGAAUUCCUAGUGUAGCGGUGAAAUGCGUAGAUAUUAGGAGGAACACCAGUUGCGAAGGCGGCUCUCUGGACUGUAACUGACACUGAGGCACGAAAGCGUGGGGAGCAAACAGGAUUAGAUACCCGAGUAGUC